GACAGAGGGUGCAACGUUGCUCGGAAUUACUGGGCGUAAAGGGCGUGUAGGCGGGAAGGUCAAGUCGGGCGUGAAAUCCCCAGGCUCAACCCUGGGAACUGCACUCGAAACUGCCUUUCUUGAGUGUCGGAGAGGAAAGCGGAAUUCCUGGUGUAGAGGUGAAAUUCGUAGAUAUCAGGAGGAACACCAGUGGCGAAGGCGGCUUCUGGACGAUAACUGACGCUGAGACGCGAAAGCGUGGGGAGCAAACAGG
This 253-nucleotide ribosomal RNA is filed under the name uncultured bacterium. Its description in RNAcentral is "partial 16S ribosomal RNA". It matches the Rfam family "Bacterial small subunit ribosomal RNA", at positions 524 to 776 of the family's 1533-position model. The record is from RNAcentral.